UUUUGUGGGGUGCUCGAGUGGCGAACGGGUGAGUAACACGUGAGUAACCUGCCCUUGACUUUGGGAUAACUUCAGGAAACUGGGGCUAAUACCGGAUAGGAGCUCCUGCUGCAUGGUGGGGGUUGGAAAGUUUCGGCGGUUGGGGAUGGACUCGCGGCUUAUCAGCUUGUUGGUGGGGUAGUGGCUUACCAAGGCUUUGACGGGUAGCCGGCCUGAGAGGGUGACCGGCCACAUUGGGACUGAGAUACGGCCCAGACUCCUACGGGAGGCAGCAGUGGGGAAUAUUGCACAAUGGGCGGAAGCCUGAUGCAGCAACGCCGCGUGCGGGAUGACGGCCUUCGGGUUGUAAACCGCUUUCGCCUGUGACGAAGCGUGAGUGACGGUAAUGGGUAAAGAAGCACCGGCUAACUAC
Molecule: ribosomal RNA, 412 nt
Filed under: uncultured Propionibacterium sp.
Lineage: Bacteria; Bacillati; Actinomycetota; Actinomycetes; Propionibacteriales; Propionibacteriaceae
Description: bacterial SSU rRNA
Rfam family: Bacterial small subunit ribosomal RNA
Source: RNAcentral